AAACCAACAGGGAUUGCCUCAGUAACGGCGAGUGAAGCGGCAAAAGCUCAAAUUUGAAAUCUAGCACCUUCGGUGUUCGAGUUGUAAUUUGAAGAUGGCAACCUUGGGUUUGGCUCUUGUCUAUGUUCCUUGGAACAGGACGUCAUAGAGGGUGAGAAUCCCGUCUGAUGAGAUGCCCAUUCCUUUGUAAGGUGCUAUCGAAGAGUCGAGUUGUUUGGGAAUGCAGCUCUAAGUGGGUGGUAAAUUCCAUCUAAAGCUAAAUAUUGGCGAGAGACCGAUAGCGAACAAGUACAGUGAUGGAAAGAUGAAAAGAACUUUGAAAAGAGAGUGAAAAAGUACGUGAAAUUGUUGAAAGGGAAGGGCAUUAGAUCAGACUUGGUGUUUUAUGAUUAUCUUCUCUUCUUGAGUUGUGCACUCGUAUUUCACUGGGCCAGCAUCGAUUCGGAUGGCAAGAUAAUGACAGUUGAACGUGGCUUCAUUCGUGGAGUGUUAUAGCUUCUGUUGAUAUUGCCUGUCUGGAUCGAGGGCUGCGUCUUUGACUAGGAUGCUGGCGUAAUGAUCUAAUGCCGC
Molecule: ribosomal RNA, 570 nt
Filed under: Hansenula sydowiorum
Lineage: Eukaryota; Fungi; Ascomycota; Saccharomycetes; Phaffomycetales; Wickerhamomycetaceae
Description: Wickerhamomyces sydowiorum partial large subunit ribosomal RNA
Rfam family: Eukaryotic large subunit ribosomal RNA
Source: RNAcentral